CUGAAUACAAUUAGGAUCUAGAGACUGCGUCCACAUGGCGCGUGCUCGAUCCUUAUUCUUUCAUCCACACACACCUUUGUGCACUAUGGGGACGUCACGUCCCCCUUUUCAUACCAAACACCGAGUUUACACGCAUGUCUUUCAUAUACUCUAAGGAGUAAAUAUGUA
RNAcentral lists this unclassified non-coding RNA (168 nucleotides) under uncultured Geastrum. RNAcentral describes it as "sequence contains ITS1". Lineage: Eukaryota; Fungi; Basidiomycota; Agaricomycetes; Geastrales; Geastraceae. The record is from RNAcentral.